RNAcentral lists this ribosomal RNA (433 nucleotides) under uncultured bacterium. RNAcentral's name for it is "partial 16S ribosomal RNA". It matches the Rfam family "Bacterial small subunit ribosomal RNA", at positions 29 to 507 of the family's 1533-position model. The record is from RNAcentral.
AACGAACGCUGGCGGCAUGCCUAACACAUGCAAGUCGAACGAGACCUUCGGGUCUAGUGGCGCACGGGUGCGUAACGCGUGGGAACCUGCCCUUAGGUUCGGAAUAACUCCCCGAAAGGGGUGCUAAUACCGGAUAAUGUCUUCGGACCAAAGAUUUAUCGCCUUUGGAUGGGCCCGCGUUGGAUUAGCUAGUUGGUAGGGUAAAAGCCUACCAAGGCGACGAUCCAUAGCUGGUCUGAGAGGAUGAUCAGCCACACUGGGACUGAGACACGGCCCAGACUCCUACGGGAGGCAGCAGUGGGGAAUAUUGGGCAAUGGGCGAAAGCCUGAUCCAGCAAUGCCGCGUGAGUGAUGAGGGCCUUAGGGUUGUAAAGCUCUUUUACCCGGGAUGAUAAUGACAGUACCGGGAGAAUAAGCUCCGGCUAACUCCGUG